Molecule: unclassified non-coding RNA, 329 nt
Filed under: soil metagenome
Description: partial contains 5.8S ribosomal RNA, internal transcribed spacer 2, and large subunit ribosomal RNA
Rfam family: 5.8S ribosomal RNA (bases 1-120)
Source: RNAcentral
GAUGAAGAACGUAGCGAAAUGCGAUAAGUAAUGUGAAUUGCAGAAUUCAGUGAAUCAUCGAAUCUUUGAACGCACAUUGCGCCCCCUGGUAUUCCGGGGGGCAUGCCUGUCCGAGCGUCAUUACAACCCUCAAGCUCAGCUUGGUGUUGGGCCCCGCCGCCCCGGCGGGCCCUAAAGUCAGUGGCGGUGCCGUCCGGCUCCGAGCGUAGUAAUUCUUCUCGCUCUGGAGGUCCGGUCGUGUGCUCGCCAGCAACCCCCAAUUUUAUUCAGGUUGACCUCGGAUCAGGUAGGGAUACCCGCUGAACUUAAGCAUAUCAAUAAGCGGAGGA